GACGAACGCUGGCGGCGUGCCUAAUACAUGCAAGUCGAGCGGACGAUUGAAGAGCUUGCUCUUCAAUCGUUAGCGGCGGACGGGUGAGUAACACGUGGGCAACCUGCCUUAACGACUGGGAUAACUCCGGGAAACCGGGGCUAAUACCGGAUAACAUCUAGCACCUCCUGGUGCCAGAUUAAAAGAGGGCCUCUGGCUCUCACGUUAAGAUGGGCCCGCGGCGCAUUAGCUAGUUGGAGAGGUAACGGCUCCCCAAGGCGACGAUGCGUAGCCGACCUGAGAGGGUGAUCGGCCACACUGGGACUGAGACACGGCCCAGACUCCUACGGGAGGCAGCAGUAGGGAAUCUUCCGCAAUGGACGAAAGUCUGACGGAGCAACGCCGCGUGAGUGAUGAAGGGUUUCGGCUCGUAAAGCUCUGUUAUGUGGGAAGAACAAGUGCCAUUCAAAUAGGUUGGCACCUUGACGGUACCUCAUCAGAAAGCCACGGCUAACUACGUGCCAGCCGCCGCCGUAA
RNAcentral lists this ribosomal RNA (516 nucleotides) under uncultured bacterium. RNAcentral's name for it is "partial 16S ribosomal RNA". It matches the Rfam family "Bacterial small subunit ribosomal RNA", at positions 28 to 523 of the family's 1533-position model. The record is from RNAcentral.